RNAcentral lists this long non-coding RNA (290 nucleotides) under Carica papaya (papaya). RNAcentral describes it as "long non-coding RNA (CPAP_LNC013565)". Lineage: Eukaryota; Viridiplantae; Streptophyta; Magnoliopsida; Brassicales; Caricaceae. The record is from RNAcentral.
CCCUUGAUACCUUGGGCAUAAUAAUAAUUCAUUUUUAUUUAAAAAAAAAUAUAUGAGGAAGAGAGGAAAGCUUGCAGUAAAAGGGUUUCAUUUGUAAGAGGGCUGCAGAAUCUCAUAAUCACCUCUUUUUUGGUGCCCCUUCUCCUCUCAUCAUUGGUGCCCUAAUUGCGACUUAUUGGGUUGAGUUGGGCGACAGCAAGCUUUUUUGUGAUGGGAUUUUGGCUUGGCAGUGUUGGGAAACACGAGGCAAAACUUAGUUCUCUUAUCCUUGUGGCCACUUUGUGGGUUAU